GGAGUGUUUAACUACUAAGGUAUUAAGACCAUAAUGUACUCGUACGAUCGGGAAACGUUAAAAAUGAUCGAACUGCUGAUUCAGCUGGUGACGAAUUUCCGAUAUUAUUAAAGAUUCACAAUACAAAGGGAACUUCCUAUGCUUAAUUGAGUCCCUAAAUAAAUCUGAACAGUUGUUUUAUUCAAAAUUAUCGAAAAGCAAAGUUUAAUAUG
RNAcentral lists this long non-coding RNA (212 nucleotides) under Mytilus galloprovincialis (Mediterranean mussel). Lineage: Eukaryota; Metazoa; Mollusca; Bivalvia; Mytilida; Mytilidae. The record is from RNAcentral.